CUAUGCGCCUUGCCAGCCCGCUCAGAAACUCAAAGGAAUUGACGGGGCCCGCACAAGCGGAGGAGCAUGUGGUUUAAUUCGAUGAUACGCGAGGAACCUUACCUGGGCUUAAAUGCUUAAUGACGUACUGGGAAACUGGUAUUUCUUCGGACAUUUUGCAAGGUGCUGCAUGGUUGUCGUCAGCUCGUGCCGUGAGGUGUCGGGUUAAGUCCCAUAACGAGCGCAACCCCUAUUGUUAGUUGCCAUCAGGUCAUGCUGGGGACUCUAACAAAACUGCCCGCGUAAGCGUGGAGGAAGGUGGGGAUGACGUCAAAUCAGCACGGCCCUUACGUCCAGGGCUACACACGUGCUACAAUGGCCGGUACAGAGGGCAGCCACUUGGUGACAAGGAGCAAAUCUCAAAAGCCGGUCUCAGUUCGGAUCGGAGUCUGCAACUCGACUCCGUGAAGUUGGAUUCGCUAGUAAUCGUAGAUCAGCAAUGCUACGGUGAAUACGUUCCCGGGCCUU
This 507-nucleotide ribosomal RNA is filed under the name uncultured Bacteroidota bacterium. RNAcentral describes it as "bacterial SSU rRNA". It matches the Rfam family "Bacterial small subunit ribosomal RNA", at positions 903 to 1382 of the family's 1533-position model. The record is from RNAcentral. Lineage: Bacteria; Pseudomonadati; Bacteroidota.